CUCUGGUAUUGAUUGGUGCUUGCAUCAUGAUUUACAUUUGAGUGAGUGGCGAACUGGUGAGUAACACGUGGGAAACCUGCCCAGAAGCGGGGGAUAACACCUGGAAACAGAUGCUAAUACCGCAUAACAACUUGGACCGCAUGGUCCGAGUUUGAAAGAUGGCUUCGGCUAUCACUUUUGGAUGGUCCCGCGGCGUAUUAGCUAGAUGGUGGGGUAACGGCUCACCAUGGCAAUGAUACGUAGCCGACCUGAGAGGGUAAUCGGCCACAUUGGGACUGAGACACGGCCCAAACUCCUACGGGAGGCAGCAGUAGGGAAUCUUCCACAAUGGACGAAAGUCUGAUGGAGCAACGCCGCGUGAGUGAAGAAGGGUUUCGGCUCGUAAAACUCUGUUGUUAAAGAAGAACAUAUCUGAGAGUAACUGUUCAGGUAUUGACGGUAUUUAACCAGAAAGCCACGGCUAACUACGUGCCAGCAGCCGCGGUAAUACGUAGGUGGCAAGCGUUGUCCGGAUUUAUUGGGCGUAAAGCGAGCGCAGGCGGUUUUUUAAGUCUGAUGUGAAAGCCUUCGGCUCAACCGAAGAAGUGCAUCGGAAACUGGGAAACUUGAGUGCAGAAGAGGACAGUGGAACUCCAUGUGUAGCGGUGAAAUGCGUAGAUAUAUGGAAGAACACCAGUGGCGAAGGCGGCUGUCUGGUCUGUAACUGACGCUGAGGCUCGAAAGUAUGGGUAGCAAACAGGAUUAGAUACCCUGGUAGUCCAUACCGUAAACGAUGAAUGCUAAGUGUUGGAGGGUUUCCGCCCUUCAGUGCUGCAGCUAACGCAUUAAGCAUUCCGCCUGGGGAGUACGGCCGCAAGGCUGAAACUCAAAGGAAUUGACGGGGGCCCGCACAAGCGGUGGAGCAUGUGGUUUAAUUCGAAGCUACGCGAAGAACCUUACCAGGUCUUGACAUACUAUGCAAAUCUAAGAGAUUAGACGUUCCCUUCGGGGACAUGGAUACAGGUGGUGCAUGGUUGUCGUCAGCUCGUGUCGUGAGAUGUUGGGUUAAGUCCCGCAACGAGCGCAACCCUUAUUAUCAGUUGCCAGCAUUAAGUUGGGCACUCUGGUGAGACUGCCGGUGACAAACCGGAGGAAGGUGGGGAUGACGUCAAAUCAUCAUGCCCCUUAUGACCUGGGCUACACACGUGCUACAAUGGAUGGUACAACGAGUUGCGAACUCGCGAGAGUAAGCUAAUCUCUUAAAGCCAUUCUCAGUUCGGAUUGUAGGCUGCAACUCGCCUACAUGAAGUCGGAAUCGCUAGUAAUCGCGGAUCAGCAUGCCGCGGUGAAUACGUUCCCGGGCCUUGUACACACCGCCCGUCACACCAUGAGAGUUUGUAACACCCAAAGUCGGUGGGGUAACCUUUUAGGAACCA
This 1415-nucleotide ribosomal RNA is filed under the name Lactiplantibacillus pentosus. RNAcentral describes it as "partial 16S ribosomal RNA". It matches the Rfam family "Bacterial small subunit ribosomal RNA". Lineage: Bacteria; Bacillati; Bacillota; Bacilli; Lactobacillales; Lactobacillaceae. RNAcentral also lists the same sequence under 1 other name. The record is from RNAcentral.